This 76-nucleotide transfer RNA is filed under the name Betta smaragdina (blue betta). RNAcentral describes it as "tRNA-Val". The record is from RNAcentral. Lineage: Eukaryota; Metazoa; Chordata; Actinopteri; Anabantiformes; Osphronemidae.
ACUGAGAAGUUAUCCGUGCAAAUCGGAUCAUUUUGAUACCCAACAGCUAGCCUACACCCCCAAACCAAACAAACCC